AUUGAACGCUGGCGGCAGGCCUAACACAUGCAAGUCGAACGGUAACAGGAAGAAGCUUGCUUCUUUGCUGACGAGUGGCGGACGGGUGAGUAAUGUCUGGGAAACUGCCUGAUGGAGGGGGAUAACUACUGGAAGCGGUAGCUAAUACCGCAUAACGUCGCAAGACCAAAGAGGGGGACCUUCUGGCCUCUUGCCAUCUGAUGUGCCCAGAUGGGAUUAGCUAGUAGGUGGGGUAACGGCUCACCUAGGCGACGAUCCCUAGCUGGUCUGAGAGGAUGACCAGCCACACUGGAACUGAGACACGGUCCAGACUCCUACGGGAGGCAGCAGUGGGGAAUAUUGCACAAUGGGCGCAAGCCUGAUGCAGCCAUGCCGCGUGUAUGAAGAAGGCCUUCGGGUUGUAAAGUACUUUCAGCGGGGAGGAAGGGAGUAAAGUUAAUACCUUUGCUCAUUGACGUUACCCGCAGAAGAAGCACCGGCUAACUCCGUG
RNAcentral lists this ribosomal RNA (490 nucleotides) under uncultured bacterium. RNAcentral describes it as "partial 16S ribosomal RNA". It matches the Rfam family "Bacterial small subunit ribosomal RNA", at positions 30 to 507 of the family's 1533-position model. The record is from RNAcentral.